This 158-nucleotide ribosomal RNA is filed under the name Pyropia haitanensis. RNAcentral's name for it is "5.8S ribosomal RNA". It matches the Rfam family "5.8S ribosomal RNA". Rfam says of the family: 5.8S ribosomal RNA (5.8S rRNA) is a component of the large subunit of the eukaryotic ribosome. It is transcribed by RNA polymerase I as part of the 45S precursor that also contains 18S and 28S rRNA. The record is from RNAcentral. Lineage: Eukaryota; Rhodophyta; Bangiophyceae; Bangiales; Bangiaceae.
UACAACUCUUAGCGGUGGAUAUCUUGGCUCUCGCAACGAUGAAGAACGCAGCUAACUGCGAUAACUAAUGUGAAUUGCAGGACUUCGUGAAUCAUUGAGUCUUUGAACGCAAGUUGCGCUCAUGUCCGGGUGGAUGUGAGCAUGCCUGUUUGAGUGUC